AGUCCUACUAUCAUGGAUCCCUACAGGACGGAGGUCAUGGAUAACUCGUCAAACCCCUUCGUCUGUCAUAUGUCAAGAUUUAUUCGACUCGAGUUCGAUAGUGGAAAACUCUUUCUCCACUUUAUAUUACUGCCCUGGCCAAGAUCUUAGAACUCAGUCUAACAAAUCACAUAGGAUCACUCCUCUUCUAUCAAGGUCGAUAGAUUCCAUGUAAGUGCAUACCCUACUC
This 229-nucleotide long non-coding RNA is filed under the name Phoenix dactylifera (date palm). RNAcentral's name for it is "long non-coding RNA (PDAC_LNC018749)". The record is from RNAcentral. Lineage: Eukaryota; Viridiplantae; Streptophyta; Magnoliopsida; Arecales; Arecaceae.